GGGUGCUGCAGCUGCUGUGAGGUUCACAGGAGCCUUGGAGGGGGUUGAUGGGAGACUGCCAGGCGCCGCUUAAUAGGAUUUUAAUUAUACAGCUCCAGUAAGAAUUUUUUCCCCCCUGGGCUUGGGCCCUCACAGGCACCUCCAUCUCCACCUCAGCAUCUUCCCAGCCGGGGGCAGCCCACUCUCCCAGGCCCCCCGCUGGCAGCCCUCACCCACGGAGGGGGGAACGCUGGCCUAUCUCCGAGAGGCUCAGGGAGGGCCUGGCAUCUGCCCCCCAGUAAUCUUGGGCUCCUAGGGAGGAGGGCCUUGCUGUAGGGAGCUGCUCCUGUGAGAUCUACAUCCGGGACUCCGCGUGGCCAGAACAGGGUGUGACGGCCACUCAGCAACCUGAUGGCCUCGGUGCUCAUUUUUCCAGGGUGAUUCUGCCCCACGCUGGGCCCUUUUGCGAUGAUUGUCUCAUGUGACGCUUACGACUCGGCAAGGCAAGCCGGGCAGAUGGAGUGAUAAUCUCCACUUUACGGAUGAGGAAACUGAGGCCCCAAGAACAAUGUCAACAGUCACCGGCACAUCAGUGUGACCGACUUUCUCAGCAGCAGCAUUUUGAGACUGCCUCUGCCAAUCCCAGGCAAAGGAGGAAAAGUGAAUGAAGAUGAUGUCUGCUCUCCCUGGCCGUCCCUGUCCCUCCGCUUGUCAAGCCUUUUCCUGGGGAGGGGAGUCCAGGAGCAAAGGACAGUAGGGGUGGAUCUCAAAGUUGUGGGUAUCCGUGACACUGUGAGGGGGGACCCCCGAUCUCCAUCUGCUGUGGGGCUUAAGCCCAGGAGAAGCUGUGGAGCUGACUGGAGUGGGAUGGAGUACGGCAUCGUGGCCGGCUGCCGUGGCACGAGAUGAAAGGCCGAGAGUGGGGCUGUUGGCAGACGGACAGGCGGGCCGAGUGGAGGCGUGGGGUGGGGGAGGGGAGAUAACCAUCUGCAA
Peromyscus leucopus (white-footed mouse) is the source of this 972-nucleotide long non-coding RNA. RefSeq lists it as uncharacterized. The transcript is spliced from 3 exons. The record is from RefSeq and is a predicted model, not a curated record. NCBI's taxonomy places the organism in Eukaryota, Metazoa, Chordata, Mammalia, Rodentia, Cricetidae.